GAACUGAAGAGUUUGAUCAUGGCUCAGAUUGAACGCUGGCGGCAGGCCUAACACAUGCAAGUCGAGCGGAUGAGAAGAGCUUGCUCUUCGAUUCAGCGGCGGACGGGUGAGUAAUGCCUAGGAAUCUGCCUGGUAGUGGGGGACAACGUUUCGAAAGGAACGCUAAUACCGCAUACGUCCUACGGGAGAAAGCAGGGGACCUUCGGGCCUUGCGCUAUCAGAUGAGCCUAGGUCGGAUUAGCUAGUUGGUGAGGUAAUGGCUCACCAAGGCGACGAUCCGUAACUGGUCUGAGAGGAUGAUCAGUCACACUGGAACUGAGACACGGUCCAGACUCCUACGGGAGGCAGCAGUGGGGAAUAUUGGACAAUGGGCGAAAGCCUGAUCCAGCCAUGCCGCGUGUGUGAAGAAGGUCUUCGGAUUGUAAAGCACUUUAA
This 435-nucleotide ribosomal RNA is filed under the name Pseudomonas putida. RNAcentral describes it as "bacterial SSU rRNA". It matches the Rfam family "Bacterial small subunit ribosomal RNA", at positions 1 to 438 of the family's 1533-position model. The record is from RNAcentral. Lineage: Bacteria; Pseudomonadati; Pseudomonadota; Gammaproteobacteria; Pseudomonadales; Pseudomonadaceae.